UACAGAGGGUGCAAGCGUUGUUCGGAAUUAUUGGGCGUAAAGGGCGCGUAGGCGGUGCGGUAAGUCUGUAGUGAAAUCUCUGGGCUCAACUCAGAGUCUGCUAUAGAAACUGCCGUGCUUGAGUGUGGGAGAGGUGAGUGGAAUUCCCCGGUGUAGCGGUGAAAUGCGUAGAUAUCGGGAGGAACACCUGUGGCGAAAGCGGCUCACUGGACCACAACUGACGCUGAGGCGCGAAAGCUAGGGGAGCAAACAGG
This 254-nucleotide ribosomal RNA is filed under the name uncultured bacterium. RNAcentral's name for it is "partial 16S ribosomal RNA". It matches the Rfam family "Bacterial small subunit ribosomal RNA", at positions 524 to 776 of the family's 1533-position model. The record is from RNAcentral.